CACUAGGGCUCACCAAAACGCGAUGGGUCGACAAAACUAGAUCUCGAUAGAGCUAGGACUCGCUAGCGUGAAGGCUCGACAGUGCCAGGACUGGACUGCGAGAGGACUGGACUGCAAGAAGGUUCGACUGCGAGAGAACUGGACGGCGAGAGGCCUUCACGGUGCGAGGGCUCCAGGAUGAUGGAAAUGGAUUUGAAAAAAUAUGAAUGAAAUGGGAAGGUGUCAGGGUGGGUAAGUUCACCAAAUGGGGAAAAGUGAAAAAUUACAAAGAAAUUAGAAAUAAAGGAGUAUAUGUAAAACAGAGGAAUACCAAAAUAAAAAAUAAGAGGGAAAUAAAACAUUAGAUGUAAAGAAAAACUAAUAAUUUAUUAUAAAAAUGACAUUUUAAAAUAUAAUAUAUUUUUAUUAAUAGUGUGAAAGUUAAAAUAAUGAAAGUUAAAAAUGUCAUAUUAUACAUGUAAAUUAUGGUAAUUAAUAAAUUGUCAUAUUAUAUUAUAAAUUUCGACAUGGUUUAAGAAUGUUUUAAUAAAAAUGCAACCAAUGUUUUUAUAGUGUUUUAACACCAAUUUUUCACACCAUUAUUAUGAUAUAUUUAACACUAAUUUUUCACACCGUUAUUAUGAUAUAUUUAACACUAAUUUUUCACACUAUUAUUAUGAUAUAGACUCUUCAUCUUCUAUAAUCAAACUAAAUCACAACUAUAUAUGAUAUAGACUCUUCAUCUCCUGCAGUCUAGUCUUAUUUGUUCAUGCCAUAUUAAUAAUCAUUACAAAGAAAAACAAACAAAAAAAAUAAGCUCAUAAUAACUUUGAGAAAUCUUAUCAUAAAUUAAAUAAAACCAAAUAAGGAUCCAACAAUCACCAUUACUAAUUGAGAAAUGAUGGACAAAUUGCAGGAACAUUACUUAAAAUAAGCACAGGCACCCAAAAAACCGUUAACCUAAAUCUCCAACACCUUUUCCAACCCAGUUCAAGAAUUAUCAAGGUAAUACAAAUUAGAGUGAGGGUCCUAGAUCUAUUUUGCCUUUAUUCCUAGAACACUAGGUGCAGCUAGCAUCAACCCAAAAAUUUAAGAAUAAUAGUAAGCAUCAAUUCAAACAACAAGAGGACCUUCACAUAGUAAAACAUAAAUAAAUAGGGAGAAUAUUAUUAUUAGGCAUAAAAAUUGGUGGGGGCGAAGAGAACACAAAUCGCACUAUAAAAAAUGAGAAAAUCAAUGAUAUGAGAAUCAGAAUUAGACACUUACAGUGACCACAAGACGCGAUUAGGGUUUCUUAGUAAGAGAAAGUGGGUGUCAAACGGUGUGGCUUUGCUUGAACACGGAACGAUUAGAGUUCUCUGGCAAUGUAUGCAAAACAAAACAGAGGCGAGAAUUGAGUGAGC
This 1382-nucleotide long non-coding RNA is filed under the name Vigna radiata. RNAcentral describes it as "long non-coding RNA (VRAD_LNC010532)". The record is from RNAcentral. Lineage: Eukaryota; Viridiplantae; Streptophyta; Magnoliopsida; Fabales; Fabaceae.